This is a long non-coding RNA of Gallus gallus (chicken), 3367 nucleotides long. RefSeq lists it as uncharacterized. NCBI's taxonomy places the organism in Eukaryota, Metazoa, Chordata, Aves, Galliformes, Phasianidae. The record is from RefSeq and is a predicted model, not a curated record. The transcript has 4 exons.
CAGACGCUAAGAGCUCAGGAUGUUCUCAAGAGUAACAGGAGGUCCCAGUUCAUGUCCAUGCAGUGCCUGAACUGAGGAGGUGAGCUCAUAUCUGUGCUACACAGGCUGAGCAUGCUAUAGGUGCUCCAUUUUGCAGCCUGACAUCCUCCAGAUGAGUGGCCCUGUGCAGUGAUAGAAAAAGGCCCAUACUUGCUUCUCAACUAGCACAGAAGUCCUUACUUUAAAUUCUGUUCCAGACACAGGAAAAACUUAGUGCCAGCAGUUUCAUCAAAGCAUAUGCUUCUGCAAAAGAGCUUUAAUGAAUAAAUGUUUUCUGACUUUUUUUUUAUUUUUUAUUUUUUGCCAGAAAUCCUGUCCAGCUCCACCAUUCAGUUAUCUCUAAAGAUUGCUGCCUGCCAUCUGGAAAACAAGGAUAAUAAUUUUACCUGCCUUUUAUGAAGCACAGUAGGGUUUAGUGGGUGAACAGCUCACAAAACAAAAGUGUAACCAAAAGCUAGUGCUUUCACAAACUGAUCUGGCAGCUGCCACACUAUACCGGACAGUAAUAUCUAACUAGGCCAUACAAAGUAGUAAUUUUGGCACAAGCAGACCUGUGUUAUACUAUUUUAAAAUAUACAUUUAUUUCUAUGGCACUGGAGUCCAAUGGUGACGUCAAGUGUUUUGGGAAAAGGAGGGUGUAUUUCUUUCAUACGUGCUUUACUUUCUAAUAGCUGUUGGGCUGUCUGUUCAUAGAUUAAUGCAGUGGUUUGGGAUGGAAAGGACCUUAGAGAUCAUCUAGAUCCAACUGCUCUGCCAAAAGCAGGGGCACUUUCUGCUAAGCUCUGCUGCCCAGGACCCAUGCACCCUGGCCUUGAACAUUAACAGGGAUGGGGUAUCCACAGCUUCUCCAGGCAGUCUGUGCCACUGCCUCACCACCCCCAUAGGAAAGAAUUUCUUCCAAAUCCAAAUCCAAGUCCAAUCUAAAUCUAUGCUUUUACUUUAAGCCAUUAGCCCUCAUCCUAUCACUUUUCUCCCAGUAAGGAGUUCCUCUCUGGCUCUCUCAGAGUGACAGAACUGAGCAAAAGUAUUUGAUGUCACAGAGUAAUGGUGUGAUGGAUGGACUGUGACCUCAUCGACCACCACUGCAUAUAUUGGGUCACAGCAGAGCCUGGCCCAGCCAAGCUUGCAUCUGGUCUCUGGCUGAUCAUAUUUGUGAGGCUUGGAGACAUAGUGAGCCUUCCUUGGGUUGUGCUGAGGGCCUCUGGGAGCUGUUCUUGGUGUCCGUCCCCACAUCAUCGCCUGUGUUUCCCUGGCCCUAACUGGCUCAGGCAGCUAUCAACAGCAUCUCAGUCUUACUUCAGAACUCAGGACAGAGCCUGUGGUUGCUUCUAUUAAGCCAAACUGUAAUAGUUGGACCAUGAACAUCUACUGCAAUAACAGCAACAUUACAAAACUGAUCAUCCCCAUCCCUCAGAAACAGGCUGCAUCUCUGUUUGUUUUCUAUUGAGAAGGGAAGUGUCCCCAAGGGUCUCCCUUUGGGAACCCCUGUCUUGGCAUGAAAUGAGUAAUGCGAUUUAUGUAGACGUUGCCAGCUUCUCUCCUUUCUCAGACAGAAAAUGGUUUUAUCUAGUCAGCUGUCUUUUUCAGACAUACGCUGUAUUCAUUCGCCUCCAUCCCUUUUGAACCAUGCAUACCAUCAGCAUCUCCUCUCAAAUUUGACAGGAGCUGAGAAAGAAGUGAAAAUGAUACAUAAAUUAUGGGGUGAAAUGAAGGUUGUGAAUGUCAGGUCCAUAGCAGAGUACUUCAGUCUCUGCUAAACACAGAAAGUCUUCCCAUCUGGAUGGUUCUUCUGACACACAAUAACAACAUAUGACUCAGUGAUUUCCAGCAGGAGUCCAGAAGAAUGCACAGUGGAAAAAUUUAUCUUUGAAUUCAUAAUUUUUGAACUUAUUUACAUUCUCAUUCUAUGAAAAAUUCAUUUGUGCUAUUAAAAACCGUGGUGGCGGAAACCCAAAAAUCCAAGCCAAAUUCAUAAUCGAAGGCAAUUAAGUUGAUUGCUUCAUGAUAAAUACCACAUCUUUUCUUAAUGGGGAUACUGCUCUUGAGUAAGCAAACUGUUUCUCUGUUCAUUAAUUUAAAAGAAUGCAUCUCUCUCAAAAGUUCAAUGGAAAGCAAACAUUUAUUAUUGAGUUCUUGAAAAUCUCAACCAUUUAAAUAGCUUAUAUACUAAUAACAGGAGCAGAAAAAGCAACCUGAUUCUUCUUAUACAAAAAUGUUGAUUUUCGUUGUCUUCUAGGUAUAGAAAAUCUAUCUCUACAAUUCCUGGCCUCUAUUUUUUGGUUUCUAUUCAUUUCUAAGAAUGAACCUAUUCCUCAGGAGUCUGGAGUUUGAUUUAACAACUGAAUGCAAGAGUCACUGUGAAAGAGUGCUUAUAGAUAAGUGACAAAGUUUGUUUCUCAAGUAGGACAAGUAAAAAUAUGCUACAGAAGCUGACUGAUUUAUUCCCUUGGUCCAUACCAUUUGAGCUAUAUAGAUUAAGACUGUUCCUUUAUUCUUAAAAAUAGACAAAAAUAAAAUAACCCAGUCUAGAAUUCAUUUUAACAUUCAUAUGGAACAUAGAUAAAGAAUUCUAAUGCUAGACAAAAUUGAAAAAAAGUGUGAAAAAAAACCAAAAUUAAAGAAAAAUGAGAAAAAUAAAUGGUUAAAUCUGCAGUAGAGAUCAGCUUUGUAAGUAAAGUCAGGAAAGAGUCUUGGGCUACAGUUAUAAUUUGCAGACUAAGAGUAUUUCUUCAGCAGUGAAAUGAUGAAUGACAGAAUGCCAUUCCUUACUAUGAUAUGAUCAACAAAAUCAAAAUGUAGUUCUUAGCUUAGAUAAACCGUAUGGAUUAAAGAGACAAUGUAGGAAAUGUGAAAAAAUCAACUAUAAGAAUAGAUAUACAAACCCUAUAGGGGAAUUUUAGGACUCCACAGUUGAAAAAAUCAUGUCGGUUACACCAUACUCAUGCAAUUAUACUAGGCACAUCUCAGAUCCUCUCUGAAGACUCUUCUAAAUCAGGCAAAAGGAAACCAGGAAAUAAAGCCCAAACAGGAGUGCAUUGCAGCCAUGAUUCUCAUAAUCUUGAAGUAACUGAUAGUAACAACUGAUAUGAAACUCAAAGUACUUGACAAAAUAUUGUCAAAAGUAGUUAAGUGAAUAAAAAUUUGAAUUGCUUGGAAUAUGUGGUAUUUAUCUCUUGUUUCCCAGUGUUUCUUUCUUUAUUGUUUCAAAAUGCAACAACAAAUUGCUGGGGGUAAACAAAACUCCAUCUGUUGUAUUUGAAUAGCACACAGAAGUGAACUCUGAAUGUAAUGAAAAUCUUUGGACAUGUUAAGUAAAUUAACAACACUG